AGAGUUUGAUCAUGGCUCAGGAUGAACGCUAGCGGCAGGCCUAAUACAUGCAAGUCGAACGGUAAGUCCCGCCUCGGCGAGAACACGAGUGGCGCACGGGUGCGUAACGCGUAUGCAACCUACCUUUAACUGGGGAAUAGCCCCGAGAAAUCGGGAUUAAUACCCCAUAAUAAUAAAAUAUGACAUCAUUUUUUAUUUAAAGUUCCGGCGGUUAAAGAUGGGCAUGCGUGACAUUAGUUAGUUGGUGAGGUAACGGCUCACCAAGGCAACGAUGUCUAGGGGUUCUGAGAGGAUUAACCCCCACACUGGUACUGAGACACGGACCAGACUCCUACGGGAGGCAGC
Molecule: ribosomal RNA, 345 nt
Filed under: uncultured bacterium
Lineage: Bacteria
Description: bacterial SSU rRNA
Rfam family: Bacterial small subunit ribosomal RNA
Source: RNAcentral